Long non-coding RNA from Musca domestica (house fly), 788 nucleotides. RefSeq lists it as uncharacterized. The record is from RefSeq and is a predicted model, not a curated record. Lineage: Eukaryota; Metazoa; Arthropoda; Insecta; Diptera; Muscidae. The transcript is spliced from 3 exons.
UCUGAAAACCUUCAUCUCAUUGCAGUUCGUUAUUCAUACAUACUUAUAUUGCUUCUGAAUAUAUUCUUGAUGUGUUAUUUUGCUGAAAAAUGUAUCGGAAGGUAUCGUUCCAUUGCCGAUUUGCUAAAUAAUUUUAAAUUAACGCUACAUCAGCCUAAACAACUCAGAAUCCGCGUAAGAGAAUUUUCUUUACAAUUACUACAUCAAAAUUUGAAAUUCACGUGCAAUAGUUUUUUGGAUAUUGAUUUUAAAAACUUUGGAAAGAUGGUUCUCAUUGUAUUCGCUUUUAUUGUUAUUUUAAUACAAUUCAAAAUGGAAGAUGUCAGUUUGGGUGCUCUAUAUGCUACACAAAAAUUAUUUGGAAAGUGGAACUGAUUUCGAGUUUAAAUAGCUGGCAUAAAGAAUAUCUGAAGGAACGAAGACGUUAAAGCUGGGCAUUUUGAAAGUUGGAUGAUGUCAAUGAAAUCUUAUGAAAAAGUUGUAUAUCAUAUGUAAACAUGAGAUUACCUUGUAUAAGUUUACAUUUAGACUAUGGCCCGUUCUUAUAUAAUUCCUUUAAGAUGCAAGCACAUAAAAAGAUUGAAGUCAUGGCUUGGCAUAUUAAUGUCAAAUUAUAAUGGAAUACAACGGCAGGAUUUUAGUGCGGCUCUGUAAUCCCUUUAUGAAAUGUCACAAAAUAUGCCUAGCCAUGACUUUAAGCUUCUUAUGUACUUAGACCUUUAAAGUUUCACUUUUGUUAUCCUCUAAGGAAAAGUAAAGUAAAGAGAUAUGGCAAGCUUUUUUUUAAA